Molecule: ribosomal RNA, 497 nt
Filed under: uncultured bacterium
Lineage: Bacteria
Description: partial 16S ribosomal RNA
Rfam family: Bacterial small subunit ribosomal RNA
Source: RNAcentral
GACGAACGCUGGCGGCGUGCCUAAUACAUGCAAGUAGAACGCUGAAGAGAGGAGCUUCCUCUUCUUGGAUGAGUUGCGAACGGGUGAGUAACGCGUAGGUAACCUGCCUUGUAGCGGGGGAUAACUAUUGGAAACGAUAGCUAAUACCGCAUAACAAUGGAUGACACAUGUCAUUUAUUUGAAAGGGGCAAUUGCUCCACUACAAGAUGGACCUGCGUUGUAUUAGCUAGUAGGUGAGGUAAUGGCUCACCUAGGCGACGAUACAUAGCCGACCUGAGAGGGUGAUCGGCCACACUGGGACUGAGACACGGCCCAGACUCCUACGGGAGGCAGCAGUAGGGAAUCUUCGGCAAUGGGGGCAACCCUGACCGAGCAACGCCGCGGGAGUGAAGAAGGGUUUCGGAUCGUAAAGCUCUGUUGUAAGUCAAGAACGGGUGUGAGAGUGGAAAGUUCACACUGUGACGGUAGCUUACCAGAAAGGGACGGCUAACUACGUG